UGGAGAGAGCUCGAGUCCCGUCACCGCCUUCCCUUCUUCCCCACCCUUUAUAACGACAAGAUGAGCGAGUUCUUCUUGCCUGCGGCUUCCUGCGGCUUCUGCUGCUGUCGUGACGAUCCUCUCUCUUUCUAUUUCUUUUGCGAUAUGACUAUCGACAGGAUUCAGAUCUGACAAGGGAGGCUUUGGGGUGGAAUUCCUUGUGUGGAGGGGAAAAAAAAGGGAAAGAAAGAUCGAGAUUUAAGGUCAAGAAAUGAGACUUAAGGAGAAUGAGAAAACGGAUGGUUGACAGAAGAGAGUGAGCACAGGGCGGAGGACAAUGGUAUGAUACGAUGCUGUUUCCGUUGCGUGCUCACUUCUCUUCCUGUCAACCUUUAUUAUCAUCAUGAGCUCCACCCUCCGUCGCCUCUUAGCGAUGAAAGGGAAAAAGAUACAAAAGAUGAGAUCUUUAUCUCGAGCGUUUUUUUGACAUUUAUUCAUUAUUAUUAUUAGGUUUGCUGCAGCUGUUCGUCUCUCGUUUCUUUCUUCUCUUUCUGUUUGUGCGUGUCAGAUGUUGCGUGAGCGUACAACGCAGCGGAUGAUUUCCAAGGCCGGUUGCGAAGUAAUUGCUUGUACGUACGUUUCUCAGUCGAACUGUAUCUUUCUUGCACCGCGUCUGGAGAAAUUAUUGCUUUCUGUGGUUUCUUGUGACGGUUGGGGGAAAGUUUGGGGAGCAGAACAAGCUGUAUCAGUUGAGCUUUGAAAGGAAGAGCGCGACUUUUGAGGUGCGGGAGGCGACCGUCCGUCUCUUCCCUCGUCGAGAAUCGGACCAGAUUUGGGUCGGAUAGAGGAGGCGAGCACGGCGGGUACAUGCAUUUCCUGCGCACUGUGCGGGACUAACGAAACCACUGUUUGACUGGUCCUUUCUCUUCUCUCUCUGCGACUUCCUGGAAACAUUUUCUCUCCUCUUUGUGUAGUUUGUUCUUCUGUUUCUAGGUGGAGUGAAUUGGAUCACUGGAAGGAGGCGGUUCCUUGAAGAACUUCUUUAUGCUCUCAAGACUGGAAGCAAUAACAUUGAUGCUUGAAAAUUCCUCCAAAAAGAUAAGAUUGCUGUGAAGCUCAAGUGAAUCAUCAGGAUUCUGUCCUCACUGGACUAGAUGAUAUAGCAUGAUGACAGCAGAUGCAUAUCACAUCGGAUGUCUAAUGUUCUGCACUUAUGUUCUGUAUUUUAAGGGGAAGCAUCGGCAGGUGGUGCCUGUGCAAGGAAGCCUAGCGUCAAGUGGUCUAAAUGCUUUCAGGUGGGAAGUAUGAAUCUCUAGUUUGCUGCAACCAGUUGAUUGAUGCUGAGCUAAAAACACGUCUUUGAAUACUGAUUCUACUCUGUGGGAUUAAGGAUUAGAAGAACAGAUGUGUUGAAGCGUUGGAAUUGUCCUCCCACCAAACCCGCUCUUCUCCGGUCACGGUGGCUUUUGUAUGCCAUUGAGGUUUGUUUCUUGCUUUAUACAUGUAAAAUCGACUGUCUUCCUCACUCGAAGAAUGCCUGUGGUUGUGUCCUGACUGAAUAAAAUUAAGUUGGUAAUGAUAGUAGCAGUAGCAAUGUUCCCAAAGAAUAGAAUUCCUUUGAACAGUAUGUAUUAUGUUCAAGCAGGCUGCUAUUCGUCUAAUAAAUUGUAACAUCAA
Long non-coding RNA from Musa acuminata AAA Group (dessert banana), 1656 nucleotides. RefSeq lists it as uncharacterized. Lineage: Eukaryota; Viridiplantae; Streptophyta; Magnoliopsida; Zingiberales; Musaceae. The transcript is spliced from 4 exons. The record is from RefSeq and is a predicted model, not a curated record.